Molecule: long non-coding RNA, 761 nt
Organism: Pteropus alecto (black flying fox)
Lineage: Eukaryota; Metazoa; Chordata; Mammalia; Chiroptera; Pteropodidae
Exons: 3
Source: RefSeq, a predicted model, not a curated record
UAAGAGUCAUAGUUGUGGGGUGUCUUAAGCUCGGUCUCCAGCCCCCCAGGGCGGGAUAAACGGCUCUGGCUCAGUGACAACGCCUAUGCCGUAAGAGCCUGAUGACCCCAAAACCAGGUCCCGCAAAGACACUCCCCCACUCCCUCAACAUCUUAGGAAAUAUAAAUAAAUGUAACCGUAAACAUUUUGGAAAGCACAGAAAGGCUGAAGAAAGCAAGAAUCGCUGAUACCCUACCCAUUAUACUUGGAGAUAACCACUGCUCUUUUUGAUAACCAGAGCCACAACCAUCACCAUCACCGUAGCGAAGACUAUUGCAGGUGGGCUUGGCGAGCAGACCCGGCAGCGGGAGAAGCAGCUAGCAACGUGAUCGACUAUGGAGCGUCGGAGUGCAAGCCCUAAUGAGGAAGUGUGAAAAAAGAAACAUGGCGGGGCAUUUUUUUCAGGAGGAAAAGGCUAGAUCUAGUACACAGACUACAAUGACAUUGUUACUCCCGCUCCCCGCACAGGCGCAGUGCAGGGCGCCUCGGCGCACGCCUACGCGCUCAUCCCGCCCUACCCCCGGCUCUGUCUCCGUCUCUCCCUCUCUUUCCAUGUUCCUCUCCCUUCCUUCUGUCCCUCGCCGCUCCCCCUCCCGUCACUCGGGCUCUCAGCCUUUCCGUUAGUCCGUUCGCGUCUCUCCUUCCGAGCCUCCAUCCCCCUCCCCCCCUUCCCCUUCGGUCCGGAGCCGACGGCGCCUGGCGCGUGCGCACUGGGCGCAGAA